AUUGGCUCAAAAUUUGUUUAAUAUUAUAAUAAUACAGCCUCACUGAAUUAAUGUGUUUUCCCCCAAACAGGAUGUAGAAAAUAUAUUUAGUCGCAUAGUAGAUAUACAUGAACUUAGUGUAAAGUUACUGGGCCAUAUAGAAGAUACAGUAGAAAUGACAGAUGAAGGCAGUCCCCAUCCACUAGUAGGAAGCUGCUUUGAAGACUUAGCAGAGGAACUGGCAUUUGAUCCAUAUGAAUCGUAUGCUCGAGAUAUUUUGCGACCUGGUUUUCAUGAUCGUUUCCUUAGUCAGUUAUCAAAGCCUGGGGCAGCACUUUAUUUGCAGGUAUAGUAAUUUUUAAAUCAAGAUGUACAAUGUCUGAAAAGUAAACUUAAAAAAAAAUUAAAUCACUUUUUUUUCUAGUCAAUAGGCGAAGGUUUCAAAGAAGCUGUUCAAUACGUUUUACCCAGGCUGCUUCUGGCCCCUGUUUACCACUGUCUCCAUUACUUUGAACUUUUGAAGCAGUUAGAAGAAAAAAG
This 519-nucleotide small RNA is filed under the name Pongo abelii (Sumatran orangutan). RNAcentral describes it as "retained intron". The record is from RNAcentral. Lineage: Eukaryota; Metazoa; Chordata; Mammalia; Primates; Hominidae.